This 1960-nucleotide long non-coding RNA is filed under the name Mizuhopecten yessoensis (Yesso scallop). Its description in RNAcentral is "uncharacterized LOC110456238". The record is from RNAcentral. Lineage: Eukaryota; Metazoa; Mollusca; Bivalvia; Pectinida; Pectinidae.
GUUGUGAAAACUACAUGGUUGUAAAACUACAUAUCUGUAAUAAAUGUCGUAAUCAGUUUUAAGACCAGAGAAAUAAUCAAUAUUGGCGGAAAUCGGGUUUUUCGCAGACAGCGAAAGAUGAUGUUCCUGUUGAUAAUCGCAUGUCUGCUGGGUAUCACAUACAGCAGCGAAGACAAACUCCUCUUCCAGGAGACAAACACUCAAGAACCCCCGGAACAAAAGGAGCAACACCAUGAUGUCAUUAUUAGUCCAUCCAAUCGUGAAGUGACUGAUCAGACGGACUAUCACAAUCUAAAACGUGACCAGGAAAUACAAACACAAAAAACGAAAACCCUAAUAGCUGGUACUGUUACGCUGGCCGCUGUCCUAAUGCUGGUGGUAUUAGCAUUGUGUCUUUGCUUUUUCUCAAAUCCGAAAAUAAAUUUCCCCGAUGGGUUUACUUUACCGACCUAUGUAUGACCAACAGUUACAGGAACAACUUCAAAGACGACAUCAGAUACAGAAAAGAAGUUUCUCGUUCGUUUUACGUCCGUCCUUUUCGACCUCGACCAAGAGAGCCAGUUUAACACCACCUGAGGGCCGAUUCAACAACACUGGUCGAACUUUCUUAUAACAGUUAAUGAAACCACAAAAACAUAUCACAUGUUAUGACUCCAAAGAUCCACCGGUGGACAUUUUACUGCCUUGACUUGUGUUUGUUUAUGUUAUUGUUAUUUAUCAAAUACACAAAUUCUGUUAUGUUAUUGUGCUAAACGUUUAUUGCUAUGUUUUAGGGUAUUUGUAUCGUCAAAAUACAUUACAAACCUACUAAAAUAUGCUGGAACGCCAAGUCCAUCGGACGAGCAUCUUGUCUUGUCAAAUUAAGAUACUGACAUCACAUAUAAACAUAAAAUAUACAGGAUUUACAAUCCUUUGAUAGUCAGAUUGUAAUAUAAAGAUACCUAAUUAUAUCUUUAUUUUAUAUUUCAUACCCCAUUUUUAAAUAAUAUGAAGGUACAUAAUUAUAAUCGUUAUUUCAUAUUUCAUAUCUCCUUUUGAAACAAUUUUUGUUUGCGGUUGAUUUUGUCCCUUGUUCAUCUAUUUCAUACUCAAAGUGUUAAACUUUCAUUGCGCUCCUUACAUUCCAUGGGAGAUUGUUCCACAUGUCAGCAGUUAUCUGUGUGAACGAUUAUUUUCUUGUAUUUAAUCUGGAGUUCUAUUUAUAUACUUUAAAGUAAUGGCGUCGGUGUGUGAAGCUUGUUAACAAUAAAUAGGUAUGUGACUUCUUUGUCAUAUUAUACAAUACAUACUGUAAUUAUUACAAUGUAAUUUCAAAUAAUUCCAUGUCUGUUACAAGUGCUAUGAUUGGUUAAUAGGAGCAUAUGAGACCCAAAAACAGCUGUUAAUAUUAGUAAAUAGUAUAGUAUAUUAGUAUAUAGUAUAGUAUAUUAGUAUAUUCGUUAAUAUUAACACGACUGUUUUCUUCGUGGAAAUAUUUUUCAAGAUAGUCCAAAUCCUCAUUUUUCAAUAAGCCAUUGUCGUUGUUAGGUGUCUUCCAUUGCAAAGUAUAAACUCACCGUGAAAAGAUUGCUAUAUCUUCUUCCACUUGAGGGAAUAAAUCGAGUGGAUAACACAUCUGCAGUCUACUGUGUAUCAUCAUUUGUAUUAUGUUUGUUUUAUUAUUUAUUAUUAUUAUAACAAUAUUUAAAAUGUAUAUGAUUUAUCAACGAAAUCAACACAGAUUAAAGAGAUUAUCAUUUGAAUCGCAAUAUCUAACUAUUUAAUCCUAUAAUUCACGUAUUUAUAUUUUAUUCCAAAAUCGAGGACAAUUUUGAUUAGCUCAAGCUGUUUUUGUUUAAUAUUUAUUUGUGAGUAAACUGAACGAUACCCAUGUGAUUUAUGCAAACGUUAUGUAUCAUAUACAUUCAAGAAUGAUUUUGUAUAUGUAUGCCAAUAUGUUAUAAGUGUGAAAUUAAAAACA